This 416-nucleotide ribosomal RNA is filed under the name uncultured Planctomycetota bacterium. RNAcentral describes it as "bacterial SSU rRNA". It matches the Rfam family "Bacterial small subunit ribosomal RNA", at positions 505 to 917 of the family's 1533-position model. The record is from RNAcentral. Lineage: Bacteria; Pseudomonadati; Planctomycetota.
GUGCCAGCCGCCGCGGUAAUACAGAGGUGGCAAGCGUUGUUCGGAAUUAUUGGGCGUAAAGAGCACGUAGGUGGGUUUGUAAGUCAGAUGUGAAAGCCUUCUGUUCAACGGAAGAAUUGCAUCUGAAACUGCGAGUCUUGAGUGUAGGAGGGGAGAAUGGAACUUCUGGUGGAGCGGUGAAAUGCGUAGAUAUCAGAAGGAACGCCGGCGGCGAAAGCGAUUCUCUGGCCUAUUACUGACACUCAGUGUGCGAAAGCUAGGGGAGCAAACGGGAUUAGAUACCCCGGUAGUCCUAGCCGUAAACGAUGGGCACUAGGUAAGGGGAGAACCUGUUUCUCUCUUUGCCGUAGCUAAUGUGUUAAGUGCCCCGCCUGGGGAGUACGCUCGCAAGGGUAAAACUUAAAUAAAUUGGCGGG